CGCCUGUUUAUCAAAAACAUGGCUUUUUGAAUAAUAUAAUUAUAAAAGGUCUGGCCUGCCCGGUGGAUGUUUCUAAACGGUCGCAGCUGCCACUGUGCGAAGGUAGCGUAAUAGGUCGUCCUUUAAUUGGGGGAGAGUAUGAAUGGUCGGAUGUUGGAAAUUCUUUAUUAGAGGUGAUUAAUGAAUUUUACUUUUUAGUGCAAAGGCUAAAAUAAAAUUAUUAGACGAGAAGACCCUGUUGAGCUUGGUAAGAGCAGUUCAAGGGAGAAUUGUUUAUAUGUUUAUUCGGGGUUGAAUGGAAGGGCUUUAGUGCCUUCUAGAGUAGAAUUUAGAUCCAGUAAGACUGAAUGUAGAAGACAGUUACCACAGGGAUAACAGCGCAAUCUCCUUGUUAAGGUCUUAUUUGAGGGGUGGUUUGCGACCUCGAUGUUGAAUCAGAAUUUCUACUAGGUGUAGCAGCUUUGUAAGUAGGACUGUUCGUCCUUUAAAAUUCUACGUGAUCUGAGUUCAGACCGGA
This 517-nucleotide ribosomal RNA is filed under the name Cadella hoshiyamai. RNAcentral describes it as "partial 16S ribosomal RNA". It matches the Rfam family "Bacterial large subunit ribosomal RNA", at positions 1797 to 2620 of the family's 2925-position model. The record is from RNAcentral. Lineage: Eukaryota; Metazoa; Mollusca; Bivalvia; Cardiida; Tellinidae.